Molecule: ribosomal RNA, 2926 nt
Filed under: Bacillus cereus FRI-35
Lineage: Bacteria; Bacillati; Bacillota; Bacilli; Caryophanales; Bacillaceae
Description: bacterial LSU rRNA
Rfam family: Bacterial large subunit ribosomal RNA
Source: RNAcentral
GGUUAAGUUAGAAAGGGCGCACGGUGGAUGCCUUGACACUAGGAGUCGAUGAAGGACGGGACUAACGCCGAUAUGCUUCGGGGAGCUGUAAGUAAGCUUUGAUCCGAAGAUUUCCGAAUGGGGAAACCCACCAUACGUAAUGGUAUGGUAUCCUUAUCUGAAUACAUAGGGUAAGGAAGACAGACCCAGGGAACUGAAACAUCUAAGUACCUGGAGGAAGAGAAAGCAAAUGCGAUUUCCUGAGUAGCGGCGAGCGAAACGGAACAUAGCCCAAACCAAGAGGCUUGCCUCUUGGGGUUGUAGGACAUUCUAUACGGAGUUACAAAGGAACGAGGUAGACGAAGCGACCUGGAAAGGUCCGUCGUAGAGGGUAACAACCCCGUAGUCGAAACUUCGUUCUCUCUUGAAUGUAUCCUGAGUACGGCGGAACACGUGAAAUUCCGUCGGAAUCUGGGAGGACCAUCUCCCAAGGCUAAAUACUCCCUAGUGAUCGAUAGUGAACCAGUACCGUGAGGGAAAGGUGAAAAGCACCCCGGAAGGGGAGUGAAAGAGAUCCUGAAACCGUGUGCCUACAAAUAGUCAGAGCCCGUUAACGGGUGAUGGCGUGCCUUUUGUAGAAUGAACCGGCGAGUUACGAUCCCGUGCGAGGUUAAGCUGAAGAGGCGGAGCCGCAGCGAAAGCGAGUCUGAAUAGGGCGUUUAGUACGUGGUCGUAGACCCGAAACCAGGUGAUCUACCCAUGUCCAGGGUGAAGUUCAGGUAACACUGAAUGGAGGCCCGAACCCACGCACGUUGAAAAGUGCGGGGAUGAGGUGUGGGUAGCGGAGAAAUUCCAAUCGAACCUGGAGAUAGCUGGUUCUCCCCGAAAUAGCUUUAGGGCUAGCCUUAAGUGUAAGAGUCUUGGAGGUAGAGCACUGAUUGGACUAGGGGUCCUCAUCGGAUUACCGAAUUCAGUCAAACUCCGAAUGCCAAUGACUUAUCCUUAGGAGUCAGACUGCGAGUGAUAAGAUCCGUAGUCAAAAGGGAAACAGCCCAGACCGCCAGCUAAGGUCCCAAAGUGUGUAUUAAGUGGAAAAGGAUGUGGAGUUGCUUAGACAACUAGGAUGUUGGCUUAGAAGCAGCCACCAUUUAAAGAGUGCGUAAUAGCUCACUAGUCGAGUGACUCUGCGCCGAAAAUGUACCGGGGCUAAAUACACCACCGAAGCUGCGGAUUGAUACCGAAUGGUAUCAGUGGUAGGGGAGCGUUCUAAGGACAGUGAAGUCAGACCGGAAGGACUGGUGGAGUGCUUAGAAGUGAGAAUGCCGGUAUGAGUAGCGAAAGACGGGUGAGAAUCCCGUCCACCGAAUGCCUAAGGUUUCCUGAGGAAGGCUCGUCCGCUCAGGGUUAGUCAGGACCUAAGCCGAGGCCGACAGGCGUAGGCGAUGGACAACAGGUUGAUAUUCCUGUACCACCUCUUUAUCGUUUGAGCAAUGGAGGGACGCAGAAGGAUAGAAGAAGCGUGCGAUUGGUUGUGCACGUCCAAGCAGUUAGGCUGAUAAGUAGGCAAAUCCGCUUAUCGUGAAGGCUGAGCUGUGAUGGGGAAGCUCCUUAUGGAGCGAAGUCUUUGAUUCCCCGCUGCCAAGAAAAGCUUCUAGCGAGAUAAAAGGUGCCUGUACCGCAAACCGACACAGGUAGGCGAGGAGAGAAUCCUAAGGUGUGCGAGAGAACUCUGGUUAAGGAACUCGGCAAAAUGACCCCGUAACUUCGGGAGAAGGGGUGCUUUCUUAACGGAAAGCCGCAGUGAAUAGGCCCAAGCGACUGUUUAGCAAAAACACAGCUCUCUGCGAAGCCGUAAGGCGAAGUAUAGGGGGUGACACCUGCCCGGUGCUGGAAGGUUAAGGAGAGGGGUUAGCGUAAGCGAAGCUCUGAACUGAAGCCCCAGUAAACGGCGGCCGUAACUAUAACGGUCCUAAGGUAGCGAAAUUCCUUGUCGGGUAAGUUCCGACCCGCACGAAAGGUGUAACGAUUUGGGCACUGUCUCAACCAGAGACUCGGUGAAAUUAUAGUACCUGUGAAGAUGCAGGUUACCCGCGACAGGACGGAAAGACCCCGUGGAGCUUUACUGUAGCCUGAUAUUGAAUUUUGGUACAGUUUGUACAGGAUAGGCGGGAGCCUUUGAAACCGGAGCGCUAGCUUCGGUGGAGGCGCUGGUGGGAUACCGCCCUGACUGUAUUGAAAUUCUAACCUACGGGUCUUAUCGACCCGGGAGACAGUGUCAGGUGGGCAGUUUGACUGGGGCGGUCGCCUCCUAAAGUGUAACGGAGGCGCCCAAAGGUUCCCUCAGAAUGGUUGGAAAUCAUUCGUAGAGUGCAAAGGCAUAAGGGAGCUUGACUGCGAGACCUACAAGUCGAGCAGGGACGAAAGUCGGGCUUAGUGAUCCGGUGGUUCCGCAUGGAAGGGCCAUCGCUCAACGGAUAAAAGCUACCCCGGGGAUAACAGGCUUAUCUCCCCCAAGAGUCCACAUCGACGGGGAGGUUUGGCACCUCGAUGUCGGCUCAUCGCAUCCUGGGGCUGUAGUCGGUCCCAAGGGUUGGGCUGUUCGCCCAUUAAAGCGGUACGCGAGCUGGGUUCAGAACGUCGUGAGACAGUUCGGUCCCUAUCCGUCGUGGGCGUAGGAAAUUUGAGAGGAGCUGUCCUUAGUACGAGAGGACCGGGAUGGACGCACCGCUGGUGUACCAGUUGUUCUGCCAAGGGCAUAGCUGGGUAGCUAUGUGCGGAAGGGAUAAGUGCUGAAAGCAUCUAAGCAUGAAGCCCCCCUCAAGAUGAGAUUUCCCAUAGCGUAAGCUAGUAAGAUCCCUGAAAGAUGAUCAGGUUGAUAGGUUCGAGGUGGAAGCAUGGUGACAUGUGGAGCUGACGAAUACUAAUAGAUCGAGGACUUAACCAUAUA